Molecule: ribosomal RNA, 874 nt
Filed under: Amphidinium operculatum
Lineage: Eukaryota; Dinophyceae; Amphidiniales; Amphidiniaceae
Description: partial large subunit ribosomal RNA
Rfam family: Eukaryotic large subunit ribosomal RNA
Source: RNAcentral
CGGACGAAAAGAAGAAGGCACAUAAUCACAUUUGGCUUGUGUCCAAGUUGUAGUUUCAUGCACUUGUCCGACAAACCCUUGACAUAAGCUCAUUGGAACUGGGCGCCACAGCGGGUUAGAGUCCCACGUGUGGCCUGUUGGGAUUUGUGAAAGGGGUGCUUUGAUUGAGUUGCACUUCUUUGGAAUGGGGUGUGAAUCUGGUGGUACGUGUCACCCAAUGCAAAGCGAUGCUGGGACUGAUAGUGAACAAGUACCAUGAGGGAAUGGUGAAAAGAACUUUGGAAAGAGAGGCAAGCAGUGCAUGUGAUUUCAGUGGGCAAAGGGAGUUUGAUUGAUGACUUGUUUUCUGACUGCACUGCCUGCAUGCGUGUUGUGCAGUUAGAACUGCAUUGUGCGUCAAGCAGUGUGCUUCUGAUUUUGCGUGUCCAAAUUGUGCUCGUUAGGAACACUUCCUUGGUGAGGUCAUGUUCUUGUGCUUGGCUUCAUUGACUGUCAGUACCCAACGUACGCAAGUGUCGUGUUGUGAGAACAUGAGGCUCCAGGACCUGUCAUUGAAACCUCGCCCGUCUUGAAACACGGAUCAAGGAGUCUGGUGUGUGUGCAAGUCAUAGUGUUGUAGACCUCAGGGCGGAGAGAGGUUGUUUGCUGGCACAUGCUGCCCCAGCGCCCAACAACAAAGAUGGAACCUUGAGUUUGAGCGCAUGCAUCUGGACCCGAAAGUGGUGAACUAUGCUUGUGAGAAGUAAAGUCAGAGGAAACUCUGAUGGAAGCAUGCAGUGGUACUGACGUGCAAAUCGUUCACCUGACUUGGGUGUAGGGGGCGAAAGACUAAUCGACCACCUGGUAGCUGGGUCCCCUCCGAAAGUUUCCCCUC